AACGAACGCUGGCGGCAGGCUUAACACAUGCAAGUCGAACGCCCCGCAAGGGGAGUGGCAGACGGGUGAGUAACGCGUGGGAACAUACCCUUUUCUACGGAAUAGCUCUGGGAAACUGGAAUUAAUACCGUAUACGCCCUACGGGGGAAAGAUUUAUCGGGGAAGGAUUGGCCCGCGUUGGAUUAGCUAGUUGGUGGGGUAAAGGCCUACCAAGGCGACGAUCCAUAGCUGGUCUGAGAGGAUGAUCGGCCACAUUGGGACUGAGACACGGCCCAAACUCCUACGGGAGGCAGCAGUGGGGAAUAUUGGACAAGGGGCGCAAGCCUGAUCCAGCCAUGCCGCGUGAGUGAUGAAGGCCUUAGGGUUGUAAAGCUCUUUCACCGAUGAAGAUAAUGACGGUAGUCGGAGAAGAAGCCCCGGCUAACUUCGUG
Molecule: ribosomal RNA, 431 nt
Filed under: uncultured bacterium
Lineage: Bacteria
Description: partial 16S ribosomal RNA
Rfam family: Bacterial small subunit ribosomal RNA
Source: RNAcentral